UUACGGCCACAACACAUUGAAACACCGAUUCGCAUACGAUCAUAGAAGUUAAGCAAUGUCGAGUCUGUUCAGUACCUAGAUGGGUGACCGCUUGGGGAUGCCAGGAGCUGUAAUC
Molecule: non-coding RNA, 115 nt
Organism: Acanthosepion pharaonis
Lineage: Eukaryota; Metazoa; Mollusca; Cephalopoda; Sepiida; Sepiidae
Source: the annotation of a GenBank genome assembly